Molecule: transfer RNA, 76 nt
Filed under: Staphylococcus aureus
Lineage: Bacteria; Bacillati; Bacillota; Bacilli; Caryophanales; Staphylococcaceae
Also listed under: 1 other name
Description: tRNA-Thr
Rfam family: tRNA
About the family: Transfer RNA (tRNA) molecules are approximately 80 nucleotides in length.
Source: RNAcentral
GCCGGCCUAGCUCAAUUGGUAGAGCAACUGACUUGUAAUCAGUAGGUUGGGAGUUCAAGUCCUCUGGCCGGCACCA